CAGCCGUAAACUAUGCGCGUUAGGUGUAUCGGUGACCACGAGUUACCGAGGUGCCGAAGGGAAACCGUGAAACGUGCCGCCUGGGAAGUACGGUCGCAAGGCUGAAACUUAAAGGAAUUGGCGGGGGAGCACCACAAUGGGUGGAGCCUGCGGUUUAAUUGGACUCAACGCCGGACAACUCACCGGGGACGACAGCAAUAUGUAGGCCAGGCUGAAGACCUUGCCUGAAUCGCUGAGAGGAGGUGCAUGGCGUAGACGUCU
This 261-nucleotide ribosomal RNA is filed under the name uncultured archaeon. Its description in RNAcentral is "partial 16S ribosomal RNA". It matches the Rfam family "Archaeal small subunit ribosomal RNA", at positions 748 to 1009 of the family's 1478-position model. The record is from RNAcentral.